This 854-nucleotide ribosomal RNA is filed under the name fungal sp. mh1926.4. Its description in RNAcentral is "eukaryotic LSU rRNA". It matches the Rfam family "Eukaryotic large subunit ribosomal RNA", at positions 23 to 909 of the family's 3401-position model. Lineage: Eukaryota; Fungi. The record is from RNAcentral.
ACCCGCUGAACUUAAGCAUAUCAAUAAGCGGAGGAAAAGAAACCAACAGGGAUUGCCCUAGUAACGGCGAGUGAAGCGGCAACAGCUCAAAUUUGAAAUCUGGCCUUCGGGUCCGAGUUGUAAUUUGUAGAGGAUGCUUUUGGUGAGGUGCCUUCCGAGUUCCCUGGAACGGGACGCCAUAGAGGGUGAGAGCCCCGUCUGGUUGGACACCGAUCCUCUGUAAAGCUCCUUCAACGAGUCGAGUAGUUUGGGAAUGCUGCUCUAAAUGGGAGGUAUAUGUCUUCUAAAGCUAAAUAUUGGCCAGAGACCGAUAGCGCACAAGUAGAGUGAUCGAAAGAUGAAAAGCACUUUGAAAAGAGAGUUAAAAAGUACGUGAAAUUGUUGAAAGGGAAGCGCUCAUGACCAGACUUGGGCUUGGUUGAUCAUCCAGGGUUCUCCCUGGUGCACUCUUCCAGUUCAGGCCAGCAUCAGUUCGCUGCGGGGGAUAAAGGCUUUGGGAAUGUGGCUCCUUCGGGAGUGUUAUAGCCCAUUGUGUAAUACCCUGUGGUGGACUGAGGACCGCGCUUUUGCAAGGAUGCUGGCGUAAUGGUCAUCAGUGACCCGUCUUGAAACACGGACCAAGGAGUCGUCUUCGUAUGCGAGUGUUCGGGUGUUAAACCCCUACGCGUAAUGAAAGUGAACGCAGGUGAGAGCUUCGGCGCAUCAUCGACCGAUCCUGAUGUUCUCGGAUGGAUUUGAGUAAGAGCAUACGGGGCCGGACCCGAAAGAAGGUGAACUAUGCCUGUAUAGGGUGAAGCCAGAGGAAACUCUGGUGGAGGCUCGCAGCGGUUCUGACGUGCAAAUCGAUCGUCAAA